UACGUAGGGCGCAAGCGUUGUCCGGAAUUAUUGGGCGUAAAGAGCGUGUAGGCGGCCACUUAAGUCCUGCGUGAAAUCUUGCGGCUCAACCGCAAGCGGUCGUGGGAAACUGGGUGGCUAGAGUGCGGGAGAGGAGAGUGGAAUUCCUGGUGUAGCGGUGGAAUGCGCAGAUAUCAGGAAGAACACCCGUGGCGAAGGCGGCUCUCUGGAACGCAACUGACGCUGAGACGCGAAAGCGUGGGGAGCAAACAGG
This 253-nucleotide ribosomal RNA is filed under the name uncultured bacterium. RNAcentral describes it as "partial 16S ribosomal RNA". It matches the Rfam family "Bacterial small subunit ribosomal RNA", at positions 524 to 776 of the family's 1533-position model. The record is from RNAcentral.